AGAGUUUGAUCAUGGCUCAGGACGAACGCUGGCGGCGUGCCUAAUACAUGCAAGUCGAGCGGGGAUUAUGCUUGAUCGCUUCGGUGAGACGGCAUAUAUCCUAGCGGCGGACGGGUGAGUAACGCGUGGGUAAUCUACCUCGUAGUUCGGGAUAACAGGCCGAAAGGCUUGCUAAUACCGGAUGAGUUCAUGCUUAUGCAUAUAGGCAUGAAGAAAGGGCUAGCCCGCUAUGAGAUGAGCCCGCGUCCCAUUAGCUUGUUGGUGGGGUAAUGGCCUACCAAGGCAACGAUGGGUAGCCGGCCUGAGAGGGUGUACGGCCACACUGGGACUGAGACACGGCCCAGACUCCUACGGGGGGCAGCAGUAGGGAAUUUUCGGCAAUGGGCGAAAGCCUGACCGAGCGACGCCGCGUGAGGGACGAAGGCCUUCGGGUUGUAAACCUCUGUCUGGGGGGAUGAGAACGGACGGUACCCCCGGAGGAAGCCCCGGCUAACUACGUGCCAGCAGCCGCGGUAAU
RNAcentral lists this ribosomal RNA (517 nucleotides) under uncultured bacterium. Its description in RNAcentral is "bacterial SSU rRNA". It matches the Rfam family "Bacterial small subunit ribosomal RNA", at positions 8 to 524 of the family's 1533-position model. The record is from RNAcentral.